RNAcentral lists this ribosomal RNA (585 nucleotides) under uncultured bacterium. RNAcentral's name for it is "partial 16S ribosomal RNA". It matches the Rfam family "Bacterial small subunit ribosomal RNA", at positions 355 to 1375 of the family's 1533-position model. The record is from RNAcentral.
UGGGGAAUUUUGGACAAUGGGCGAAAGCCUGAUCCAGCAAUGCCGCGUGUGUGAAGAAGGCCUUCGGGUUGUAAAGCACUUUUGUCCGGAAAGAAAUCCUUGGCUCUAAUACAGUCGGGGGAUGACGGUACCGGAAGAAUAAGCACCGGCUAACUACGUGCCAGCAGCCGCGGUAAUACGUAGGGUGCAAGCGUUAAUCGGAAUUACUGGGCGUAAAGCGUGCGCAGGCGGUUUGCUAAGACCGAUGUGAAAUCCCCGGGCUCAACCUGGGAACUGCAUUGGUGACUGGCAGGCUAGAGUAUGGCAGAGGGGGGUAGAAUUCCACGUGUAGCAGUGAAAUGCGUAGAGAUGUGGAGGAAUACCGAUGGCAAAGGCAGCCCCCUGGGCCAAUACUGACGCUCAUGCACGAAAGCGUGGGGAGCAAACAGGAUUAGAUACCCUGGUAGUCCACGCCCUAAACGAUGUCAACUAGUUGUUGGGGAUUCAUUUCCUUAGUAACGUAGCUAACGCGUGAAGUUGACCGCCUGGGGAGUACGGUCGCAAGAUUAAAACUCAAAGGAAUUGACGGGGUCAUAGCUGUUUCCU